AGAGUUUGAUCCUGGCUCAGGAUGAACGCUAGCGACAGGCCUAACACAUGCAAGUCGAGGGGCAGCGGGGAGGCAGCAAUGCCUCCGCCGGCGACCGGCGCACGGGUGAGUAACACGUAUGCAACCUGCCCGGCCCAGGGGAAUAAGCGGCGGAAACGCCGUCUAAUUCCGCGUACACCUCCCAGCGGGCAUCCGCGGGGAGGGAAAGGAGGCGACUCCGGGACCGGAUGGGCAUGCGGCGCAUUAGCUAGUUGGCGGGGCAACGGCCCACCAAGGCUGCGAUGCGUAGGGGUUCUGAGAGGAAGGCCCCCCACAUUGGAACUGAGACACGGUCCAAACUCCUACGGGAGGCAGCAGUGAGGAAUAUUGGUCAAUGGGCGAGAGCCUGAACCAGCCAAGUCGCGUGAGGGAAGACGGCCCUACGGGUUGUAAACCUCUUUUGCCGGGGAGCAAUGGCCGACACGCGUGUCGGCAGGGAGAGUACCCGGAGAAAAAGCAUCGGCUAACUCCGUGCCAGCAGCCGCGGUAAUACGGAGGAUGCGAGCGUUAUCCGGAUUUAUUGGGUUUAAAGGGUGCGUAGGCGGACUGGAAAGUCAGCGGUAAAAUCGAGAGGCUCAACCUCUUUCCGCCGUUGAAACUGUCGGUCUUGAGUGGGCGAGAAGUAUGCGGAAUGCGUGGUGUAGCGGUGAAAUGCAUAGAUAUCACGCAGAACUCCGAUUGCGAAGGCAGCAUACCGGCGCCCGACUGACGCUGAGGCACGAAAGCGUGGGUAUCGAACAGGAUUGGAUACCCUGGUAGUCCACGCAGUAAACGAUGAAUACUAAUUGUCCGGUCAGAAUGAUGACUGGGUGAUACAGCGAAAGCGUUAAGUAUUCCACCUGGGGAGUACGCCGGCAACGGUGAAACUCAAAGGAAUUGACGGGGGCCCGCACAAGCGGAGGAACAUGUGGUUUAAUUCGAUGAUACGCGAGGAACCUUACCCGGGCUCAAACGUAGAAUGACAGACGGUGAAAGCCGUUCUCCCUUCGGGGCAGUCUACGAGGUGCUGCAUGGUUGUCGUCAGCUCGUGCCGUGAGGUGUCGGCUUAAGUGCCAUAACGAGCGCAACCCCCAUCUACAGUUGCUAACAGGUAAAGCUGAGGACUCUGUGGAGACUGCCGGCGCAAGCUGUGAGGAAGGCGGGGAUGACGUCAAAUCAGCACGGCCCUUACGUCCGGGGCGACACACGUGUUACAAUGGCAGGUACAGCGGGAAGCCAUAUGGCGACAUAGAGCGGAACCCGAAAACCUGUCUCAGUUCGGAUUGGAGUCUGCAACUCGACUCCAUGAAGCUGGAUUCGCUAGUAAUCGCGCAUCAGCCACGGCGCGGUGAAUACGUUCCCGGGCCUUGUACACACCGCCCGUCAAG
This 1406-nucleotide ribosomal RNA is filed under the name uncultured bacterium. RNAcentral describes it as "bacterial SSU rRNA". It matches the Rfam family "Bacterial small subunit ribosomal RNA". The record is from RNAcentral.